AUUGAACGCUGGCGGCGUGCUUAACACAUGCAAGUCGUACGCGAAAGGGACUUCGGUCCCGAGUAAAGUGGCGCACGGGUGAGUAACACGUGGAUGAUCUGCCUCUAUGAUGGGGAUAACAGUUGGAAACGACUGCUAAUACCGAAUACUCUCAUGAUGAACUUUGUGAGGAAAGGUGGCCUCUGCUUGCAAGCUAUCACAUACAGAUGAGUCCGCGUCCCAUUAGCUAGUUGGUGGGGUAACGGCCUACCAAGGCAACGAUGGGUAGCCAAUCUGAGAGGAUGAUCGGGCACACUGGAACUGAAACACGGUCCAAACUCCUACGGGAGGCAGCAGUGGGGAAUAUUGCGCAAUGGGCGAAAGCCUGACACACCGACACCGCGUGAGGGAUGAAGGUCUUCGGAUCGUAAACCUCUGUCAGAAGGGAAGAAACUAGGGUGCUCUUAUCAUCCUCCUACCUGACGGUACCUUCAAAGGAAGCGCCGGCUAACUCCGUACCAGCAGCCGUGAUAAUACGGAGGCAGCAAGUGUUAAUCGGAAUCACUGGGAGAAAAGCGCACGUAGGUUGUUAUAUAAGUCAGGGAAGAAAUCGCGCGGCUCAACCGUGGAACUGCCCAAGAUAUUGCACGACUGGAAUCCGGGAGAGGGUGGCGGAAUUCCAGGUGUAGGAGUGAAAUCCGUAGAUAUGAGGAGGAACAUCAGUGGCGAAGGCGUCCACCUGGACCGGUAUUGACGA
Molecule: ribosomal RNA, 736 nt
Filed under: uncultured bacterium
Lineage: Bacteria
Description: bacterial SSU rRNA
Rfam family: Bacterial small subunit ribosomal RNA
Source: RNAcentral